Molecule: long non-coding RNA, 8846 nt
Organism: Quercus robur (English oak)
Lineage: Eukaryota; Viridiplantae; Streptophyta; Magnoliopsida; Fagales; Fagaceae
Exons: 4
Source: RefSeq, a predicted model, not a curated record
GAGAGAGAGAGAGAGAGAGUCUACAUAGAAGUGUCUAGGUGACAUGUUCUUGUUUAGGCUAUUUUUGUGGUCUUCUUGGUUUUUGUAUUAGGUGUUAAUGUAUUAUUUAUUUUGGCACAAAAAUUUAAAAAAAUUUAGAUGAGACACAUGGCGCAAAAUUAAGAAUCCAAUUAACUCACUUGACCAAAAAAAAAAAAGGACACGCGGUGCAAAAUUGAGAAUUCAAUUGAAAUCUGAUUGAAUUUUCUCUCAGCUUCACCUAUUAUCUAUAUAUAUAUAUAUAUAUAUAUAUAUAUAUAUAUAUAAAACCGAACCCUUUGAAACUCCCAUAGUUUUCCAAGUCAGCAUUUAUUUAUUUCUAUUUUUUAAAUUUUGAUUUUUUAAAAUUAAUUUCGAUUUUUUUUUCCAGUCUUAUGCGAUUGACUCUCUAACCUAUACGCAUUCUUAAAACCCAGAACCCUAACCUUUGAGUUCUCUCUCUGUGUGCUUUGUCUUGGGUCUCUCCAUUUCCCCUUUCUCUCUUUAUUCCUCAAACCAAUUUUUUUAAAUAAAAAUUACAUGAAGAAGAGAGCUUCUCUUCAGUUUUGGUGCUACGUACGGGUUAAGGACUUUGGAAAGUAAUAUGGUAUUCCAAACACAGUAGUAAAAGUUAUUCAUAGCAGAGUUCCAUGAUAGCUACAAGCAACAAACUAAGACCUUCAAUAUAUGCAGAUUCUUGCCAGGAUUGUAGCAGGUUAGUGCAGUACUGGUAAUCUGGUGCCAAUCAGGGACUAUUGCUUUACUCAAAUUUGUAUCUUUCGGCCUUUCUAAGAAGCCUUUAAAUAGGUCUCUGAAAACCUGAUUAGAGCAUGAUUUGGUCGCACUAAUUCCUGCAAGCCUGAGUAUGAGUCCUCCAUGACCAGCGGAUGAGUGUGAGAGAUUCAUGAAGAAUCAAGUUUCAAAGAAGAAACAGUGCAAUUCGUGACUAGCUCGCAAGAAGCUCACGAGAAGAGUAACCUGCGAAAGGCCACGUGUGAAGCACAUGACUAGAAACUGAAGAGUCAUACCAGGCUAUCAAAUUUGUGAGUACUUCACGAGAAAGACCUUCUCACGAGGUAACCGAAAAACAUUCUAUUUGGCAAAAAGAUAAAGUGCUUUACCAAAUUCUUUACCCACACUAUAUUUACCUUCAUUACUCAUGAAAUGUAAGGAGUACUUUUUAGAGAAAAAAACCCUAGCAAAAACACUUGAGAGUUAGAGAUUGUUAUACCCACAAUCAUCUACAUAUUUUCUCUUGGUUUUCCUCUACUCCUACCUCUCCAUCUCUACAUCCUUGAGAGGUUCUUAGCCCAAACACUUACCUCACCCAAUUUGAGUGUUGAGUCAAGUUUUGGUGCCUUUGGGAAGCAUUGGAAUGAGCCAUUAACUGGCGGAUGCAAUCAAGUUGAAUUACAAGUUCUGAAAAGCUAGUGAAGAUAAGACUCCGAGAAGUCCGUUGGUAGCAGGAGCUUGGAGAGCUCGAGUACAUAGGGUAGACUAGGCUUAGAGGGUCUUUUGUUAUUCGUGUACUCCAACUUAUUCACUAGUGAAUCACUUUCAACUUGGAGGGUCGCGGAAAGAUUUUUCACCGAGUUCUUUGGUUUCUUCUUCGAUAACAUGUCUUGGUAUUAUCUUGUGUUUACAUUUCUCUUCCCUACUCUUUAAGCUUUCAUUUUAUUGUUCAUUGUGGUUGAAUAUGGCUUAGAAUAGUGUUACCAGUUUAUUGCGCAUAUUUACUCUUGUUUUGUACUUUGUUAAGUUAGAGUAAAAGCAAUCUAGUCGUAAUUUUAAAAUUGGGGUCUGAACAAGUUUUAGUAUUUUCACACUAAUUUGAGCUUUCAAUUGGUAUCAAAGUGGGUAUAUUUUGUUGAAUUUUAUUAUCCUUGUGUGAUCCUAGACCCCAUUUGAGAUGGAUAGAUCUCAAUCCCUCAACGCACCUCCUUACUUUGAUAGGAGUAACUAUGCAUUUUGGAAAGUACGUAUGCGUGCUUUUCUAUGUGCUAUUGAUGAGACCGUUUAGGAUUCCAUUGAGAAUGGUUGGGUGAGACCAACAACAUCCAAAGUUGAAUGGGAUAAGGCUACACUUGCUUUGGCAAAUGCCAAUGGCAAAGCUAUUAAUGCUAUUUUUCGUGUUGUUUCUAUUGAUGAAUUCCAUAUGAUAUCUCAUGUGAAGACCGCCAAAGAGGCAUGAACCAUCCUUGAGACCACCUACGAGGAAACCAAGAAGAAGGUCAAGGACACCAAACUUCAAAUGCUUACUAUUCGAUUUGAGGAAGUGAAGAUGACUGAUGAUGAGUCAUUUGAUUCAUUUUAUGGGAGACUCAAUGAGAUUGUUAUUGACAAACUCAAUAUUGGAGAGAAGACUGAAGACGCCAAAGUGGUGAGGAAAGUCUUGAGAUCCUUACUCAAAAGCUUCUAGGCUAAGGUCACCGCCAUUGAGGAGAGCAAAGAUUUUGAUGGGAUCAAGAUUCAAGAGCUUGUUGGCUCUCUUCAAACCUAUGAGCUUGGACUGCCCUCUCAUAAGUCUAGCAAAUCACUUGCUCUCAAACCAGAAAUGAGAGAAAUGAUGAUUCCUCCGAUGAGGAUGAUGUUGAAAAAGAGGUGGCAUAUCUGGCAAAAGGAAGUUCUCAUCCUCCAAAAGUGACAAAAGAGACUUCAAGAAGAAGGAUGGGAAAGACUCAUCAUCAUCUCAAGGGAUUGUAUGUUUCGAAUGCAAUGGCCAUGGGCAUCUAAAGAAAGAGUGUCCAAACUAUUUGAGAGUAAAGGGUAAAGAACUAACAACUACCUUUAGUGACUCGGGGAGCUUAAAUUCCGAUAUGGAAAGAGAAUGUGAUAGUGACGGCAAUUAUUUAGCAUUCAUGGUGAUUACCACGGUUGAUUCUAAAGAUGGAUUGAGCGAUUUGGUUGAUUAACUUGGUAUUCACUCCAAAGGUGAAGAAGUUGAAGCUUUGGAUGAUGAGGAUGUGUACCUCAAUGAGGGUGAUAAGAAUCCUCAAUAAGUGUACAAUGUGUUGCUUGAAGAUUAUGGCAAAUAUGCUAAGGUUGCCAAGAGUGUAGUUAAGAAGAAGAAGAAAAUUGAAGAAGAACACAAAUCCAUUCUUUUACAACUUAAGAAUGUUAAGUGUGAAGUUGAAGAGUUGAAGGAAGAGUUUCUGAAUGCCUACUCCAAAAUCAAGUUUCUCGAACUUGAAGUAAUUCAAGCAAAUGUCAAAGUGGAGCACAUCACAACCAAGAAACUUGAUAGUGUGCUUUCAUCUCAAAAGCCUUACACGGACAAGACCGGAUUGGGUUACACCAGUGAAGGAAGUUUAACUGGCGAACCUAAAAAGGAGAUGGAGUUUGUGUUAGGAAAGAAUGUAGAGAAGCCUAAGGUUGAGAUCCCUACUGUUCAAAAGAAAGACAUUGGUCCAAAACCAAAGGCAAAAAGGAAGUCAUAAGAAUCAAAGGGGUCCUCAAAUGAAGCAUUUUUAUCAUCAUUGUGGAGUUUGAGGACACAUAAGACCAAAUUGCUUCAAACUUCAUGCUCUAAAAAGGGCUGAUUCUCUAUGUGAUCAAGGAAAUACAAGAAGAAUGCCAAGAGGAAAGCAAGCUAAGGAAGAAAAUAAGGGUCAACUCAUUGGAGAUGUCAUGCAGAUGCUUAAGAACAUUUCAUCAUACCAAGCUAGCUUCACCUUGAGGUUUGAGAGUUAUGUUAGUCAUACCCCUCCUUCUAAGAACCUCACCCAAAACAUUCGUGUAGUGUGGGUGAAGAAAGGUACUCAUGCAUGAUCACUCACUAUGUCCAUGUAUCAAUACUUCCAAUGUAUUAGGGUCAUAGUUUCAUGCAUCAAGGCAUAUGCAUUCUUCUAGAGUCACUACUUUCGCCCUAGCAUGUUUCUUUUAUAGGUCUUUGUAUUUUUUUACCUUGUUUUGUUGAUCUUACUUUAUUGCUUUGUUUUUGAAUGUGUUAAAAAUUCAAAAACCUAUAAAAAGUAAAAAAUCUCAAAAAGUUUGAUCGCUUGUGUUAAGUAUAUCACAUGUUGAGUUUGGCCUAGUACCUCCGUACUAAUGGCGCAGUGCAUUUACAAGCUUAGCUUGUUAUGUAUGCACAUUUUUUAAGUGUAAGUAAAAUAUAGAAAUCUAUAUUUGAUUGUUGUAAAUAGAUCUUCAAGCUUGUCAUGAAUGAUUAGUCAAUAGUCUUGUUUGAUCUUAAUACAUGCGUAGACUUGAUCCUAUAUAUCUCCUCACAUUUAUUUUUAUAUCAAAAAGCUCUUCAAACGUCAAUCUCUAAAAAGAGCUUGCUGAAAAAGUCUUGCUUCAAAAACUAGUUUGACUAAGAAAAGGUGUAGCAAAAUGUAUUUAAAAUGUAUGAUGCCAAAGCCAAAGGCUUAUUCCUUAAAGAAAUAUAAAAAAUUUCAUGGCAUCACUGCUAAAAAAUUGAGUUGUAUUGAACAAAAGGUAUGAAAAAUGGAAGCCAAAUGAAAAGCUUUCAAUCAAUGUAAACAUAUUGGUGGAGGGGGUCAUAUAUGUUCAUUUCUACUAGUGAGAUAGGUCACUUGACUUCAUGCUAGUUGUGUAUAACUUGAUUGAAUUGAUCAUUGAAACUUCAUAUUAGAAUAUGGACUAGAUCAUACUUGAUUCACACACACAACACAAAAGUCUAAUGUGAUAUGUGUAUACUCAAUCGCUUGAUGAUCAAACCCAAAAAGAUUUUUGAGUAUUUUAUUUGUUUUUGAAAAUGUUUUUGUGUAUCACUUGUGUUUUGAAAUUUUGAAAGUUUUUCCAAAAAUCCAAAUCUGUUUUGUUGAAAAACUCCUCCAAAAGCAUUUCCGCGAGUAUGUUGCGAGUAAGGUAUCUUGCAUCCUAGUCGCAAAAAUGAGGAAGUGAAUUUUCAUCUCUUCCAAAAUUGUACACAGAGAGUUUCGCGACUCCCUCAUGAGUACUUCGUGAGAAAUAGCUUCCCACGAAACUUGCCCUGUGCAUUUGAGGCAUUUUGUGAGUAACUCGUAAGUACUUUGCGAGUAACUAUCCCGUGAAAUGAGCGAAUUUUCAGUUUUUAAAGGGGUACACAGUGGCAGUUUUUUCAAAACUUCUAUUUUGCCUCUCUCAACCCAAAACAUCUUUGUCACUCUAAUCUCAACCAAAACUCCUUGGAUUUCAUCCCUAAGACUUCUCUAAGGUAUGCUUUAAUAACUUUUAUCUUUUGAAUCCUUAUAUGAAGUCUUAGAUUCUUCAAAUUCUAAGGUUGGGGUUAUUUUGAAUAGGGUUGGGAAAAUUUAAUUUUUGUCAAAUCAUUUUACAUUUUUCUUGCUCGGUUUGUGUCCCAUUGUGUUUGUUGUUGUUUUUGUUGGCCCCUUGUGGCAUUUUAACAUGUAUUUAGGCAAGUUUUUCAUGUGUUGAUGCAUUGUUUAACAUAUGUGUGUAGUGUGUGUUAGGACAUAUGUGAUUCACUUGUUAGGAACAUAUGUCACUAUUUUAUGUAAUUGGCUAAUUCUUUAACAAAACACACUUUACUUGUAAUUGGGUAGAUCUAGGAUGUGUUUAAUACUUCAAGAAACUGUGUUUCAAGAUCAAGUGUUAAAGCCAUGCAAGUUUGUCCAAGAUUCAAGCUGAAGAAGUGCUGUCUAUUAAAGCUUGACAAUUAGCUAUCUAUCGAGACCUGUAGAGUUGUUCAGCCUUGUGGCUCGACAGAUAGGGUAUCUAUCGAGGUUUAUGAAAAACAGAAUUCCAGUUCUAUUUUGACUCUAAUCCGUGAUUAUGUGUUUGGGCCUUCUUUUCUCACAACCCUAGACAUAUAAAAGGAUUAUUUUAAGGGCCGUCAAAGUGUUCACAAGUUGCACAAGUGUUGAGCAAAGUUUGUUCAAGCAAAUGUGACCAGUGACACAGUUUUGCCCUAGUUCAUCAUUCUUGUGAAGAAGUUACUGUGUUUGUGCAUUGUAGGGUUUUGUGACCAAGCAUCUUCUUGAUCUUCAUCAUUGGGAUGAACUGAAGAACUUUGUAGCCAACAACCUUCUCUAGUUGGUGAUUGAAGUCACAUACUGGGAUUCGCGCAAUUGUUUAGUCACGUAUUUGGGAGCCGUGCAUCAAAAGGAGAAAUUGUCACUACAGAACAAGUCCAAUUAGGUAUUGGGGUAAGAGUUCAACUAUAGGUUGGUAUAAGGUACUGAGAUUCCUUUACUUGUAACCGCUUGUUGUGAUAAUAGUGGAAUUUCGGGAGUGGUGACCUGAAAAUCACUCGGUGGGAUUUUUGCCAUGUUAGUUUUCCCCAUUCGUAAACAAAUCACCGUGUCAAAUUUAUUUUUCGCUACAUACUUAGUUUAUUGGUGAUUUGUUUAUGCUACCACGCGUUUGCAUGUUAAUUAACUAAAUUAAUUCACUUGGCUAAAUUAAUUGGUUAAUUCAUCACGAGGGGUCAAUUCGUUUUUGACUUAUUAGUGUGUGCACUCUAAAAUGCCUAUAUGGUAUUUUUUUCAUUCUUUUGGACUCCAAUGAGUACCAAUUUUUGGGAAUCACCAUGAUUACGCAUGUUUAUCAUGUUUUGAUCAUUGUUUGUACUUUUUACACACUUUUCCCUAUGAGUGCUUGUUCAUGCAUUGCUCAUGAAUCUCACAUGCACACUAGAUUCACCCUUGAUGCACACACUCUAACACUUGAUAUAUUUUAGACCUUUUAGCACCUAUAACAUGUUCUAGUGUCUAUGUUAUGCUUGUCUAUUUCCAUUUUAGGACAUUUUUCUCAAUUUGUUCUUGUUUAUGGACUAACUUGUAUCUAAUCAAGUUUGUUACCAUGUUUGUGCAUGGUUUGUGUGUUUGUUCAUUUUUGUAGAUGUCUCCUCAUAAGUCAGCUGCAAAGAAAUCAGUAAAGCGUCCUUGUCACUCCCUCAAUUAGUUCAGAAACCAAGAUGCUAACAAUGCUUACAUCGAUCACUACAAGAAUGCUACGAUCAUCGUGGAAAGGGGUAUGAACAUUGAAUCCUUGGAGAACACAUUCAUUCCAGAAGUGUUCAAGGAGAGGACAUGGACCAAAUUGCUGAAUCCCUCGGAUGAUUUGUAUGAGUUCAUCAUCAAGGAAUUCUUUGCAAAUGCAUUUGUGGAAGAUGACCACAUUAGUUGCUAGGUUAGGGGGAAAGAAUUCACUGUCUCUAGAGAGUUAAUCCAGGAGCUUUUAGAGAUCUGUCUGAUGACUCCAGAUAGCUCUCUACAUUUUGAUGAGAGAAAAGACAAACUUGAGCCUCUUUUGCAAGUUCUUGGAGGUCAACUUAAGAAGAAGGCCUUGCACACGAUUGACUUCACGCCUGAGAUAAGGGCUUUGGCCUAUAUCAUGAUCUUCAACCUCUAUCCGGUGAAGAAUUUGACAACUUUGUCGGGGCCAAGGACCAUUUUCCUCCAUGAUCUCUUCACUCACAAAGAGAUUGAUAUUUAUGGUCACAUCUACCAGCUCUUUGUUAAGUGCGUUCGAAAAAGAAAGACAAAGAUGACUCUACCAUUUCCAAGCCUUAUCAUGUCACUCAAAGGCACGGGUGAAGAUUCCAAGUGGACUCCUGGUCAUGCCAAGGGGAGAGUCAAUUAGUAAACACACUAUGAACCGGAGUAAAGCCCACAUUCCUGGUCUAGAAGCUGGUGCAGCACAAGUUCCAAGAGAAGAAGCUACAUCUGAAGGUGGCAACAUCGAAGAUGAGAUUGAUUAGUUCACUCAUGUAUCGGAGAAUAUUCCACAACCAUCUUCUCAAGCACAAGCUAGAGCACCCGACUGCCUUGAUUUAAUACUAGGAAAGGUGUUUCAAGAUACAGGAGUAUAUGGUUCAAGUGCUUCACAGUUUUUAGAUUUAGGUGUGUGUGAGUUUUGCCUCUUUUCCCAAACUCACGUUUAAGUCUAGAGUCUGUUUAGGGGUUUUGUCACAGAAUAGUCAAAGGGAGAUUGUAAAGUUGUGAUUUCCAACUAACCUUUGUUGCAUUUAAUUCCAUGCCAAAUUUGAUUGUAACUUCUUCAAUCAUUUCCCUGUCUUUAUGUGAGUUUAUUUGUAAGGGAUGAGUGUGAGAGAUUAGUGAAAAAUCAAGAUUCAAAGAAGAAACAAUGCAGUUCGCAACUAGCUCGCGAGAAGCUUGGGAGAAGAGUAACCUGCGAAAGGUCACAUGUGAAGCGCAUGACUAGAAGCUGAAGAGUCAUGCUAGGUUGUCAAAUUUGUGAGUACUUCGUGAGAAAGGUCAUCUCGCAAGGUACCCACGAAACAUUCUUUUUGCCAAAAAGAUAAAGUGCUUUACCAAAUUCUUCACUCACACUAUAUAUACCCUCAUCACCCACAAAAUGUAAGGAGUGCUUUUCAGAGAGAAAACUCUAGGAAAAACACUUGAGAGUUAGAGAUUGUUAUACCCACAAUCAUCUACACAUUUUCUCUUGGUUUUCCUCUACUCCUAUCUCUCUAUCUCUACAUCCUUAAGAGGUUCUUAGCCCAAACUCUUACCUUACCCAAUUAGAGUAUUGAGUGAAGUUUUGGUGACUUUGGGAAGCAUUAGAAGGAGCCAUUAAGUGUUGGACGCAAUUGUGCUGAAUUGCGGAAUCUGGAAAGCUAGUGAAGACAAGACUCCGAGAAGUCCGUUGGUAGUAGGAGCUUGGAGGGCUCAAGUACAUGAAGUAGAAUAGGCUUGGAGAGUUUUUUGUUAUUUGUGUACUCCAACUUAUUCACUAGUGGAUCGAUUUCGACUUGGAGGGUUGCAGAGAGUUUUUCGAUUUCUUCUUCGAUAACACAUCUUGGUGUUAUCUUGUAUUUGUAUCUCUCUUCUCUACUCUUUAAGCGUUCAUUUUAUUGUUCAUUGUGAUUGAAUAUAGCUUGAAGUAGUGUUACCGGUUUA